GAUGAACGCUGGCGGCGUGCCUAAUACAUGCAAGUCGAGCGAACAGACGAGGAGCUUGCUCCUCUGACGUUAGCGGCGGACGGGUGAGUAACACGUGGAUAACCUACCUAUAAGACUGGGAUAACUUCGGGAAACCGGAGCUAAUCCCGGAUAAUAUAUUGAACCGCAUGGUUCAAUAGUGAAAGACGGUUUUGCUGUCACUUAUAGAUGGAUCCGCGCCGCAUUAGCUAGUUGGUAAGGUAACGGCUUACCAAGGCGACGAUGCGUAGCCGACCUGAGAGGGUGAUCGGCCACACUGGAACUGAGACACGGUCCAGACUCCUACGAGAGGCAGCAGUAGGGAAUCUUCCGCAAUGGGCGAAAGCCUGACGGAGCAACGCCGCGUGAGUGAUGAAGGUCUUCGGAUCGUAAAACUCUGUUAUUAGGGAAGAACAAAUGUGUAAGUAACUAUGCACGUCUUGACGGUACCUAAUCAGAAAGCCACGGCUAACUACGUG
RNAcentral lists this ribosomal RNA (497 nucleotides) under uncultured bacterium. Its description in RNAcentral is "partial 16S ribosomal RNA". It matches the Rfam family "Bacterial small subunit ribosomal RNA", at positions 28 to 507 of the family's 1533-position model. The record is from RNAcentral.